AGAACGAACGCUGGCGGCAGGCUUAACACAUGCAAGUCGAACGCCCCGCAAGGGGAGUGGCAGACGGGUGAGUAACGCGUGGGAACGUGCCUUUCGGUUCGGAACAGACCCGGGAAACUGGGAUUAAUACCGGAUAAGCCCUUACGGGGAAAGAUUUAUCGCCGAAAGAUUGGCCCGCGUCUGAUUAGCUAGUUGGUGAGGUAACGGCUCACCAAGGCGACGAUCAGUAGCUGGUCUGAGAGGAUGAUCAGCCACAUUGGGACUGAGACACGGCCCAAACUCCUACGGGAGGCAGCAGUGGGGAAUAUUGGACAAUGGGCGCAAGCCUGAUCCAGCCAUGCCGCGUGAGUGAUGAAGGCCCUAGGGUUGUAAAGCUCUUUUGUGCGGGAAGAUAAUGACGGUACCGCAAGAAUAAGCCCCGGCUAACUUCGUGCCAGCAGCCGC
This 444-nucleotide ribosomal RNA is filed under the name uncultured bacterium. Its description in RNAcentral is "SSU rRNA". It matches the Rfam family "Bacterial small subunit ribosomal RNA", at positions 26 to 518 of the family's 1533-position model. The record is from RNAcentral.